UGGAAAAGGUCCUGAAGCACAGAUAUU
Molecule: non-coding RNA, 27 nt
Filed under: Homo sapiens (human)
Lineage: Eukaryota; Metazoa; Chordata; Mammalia; Primates; Hominidae
Source: RNAcentral